GGGUUCCCAAGGUUUUCCCGGCUUCCCCGGGGCGAGUGGAGAGAAGGGGGUUCGGGGUCUCUCUGGGAAAAUUGGCCCCCGAGGCGAACGAGGACCCUCCGGCCCCAGAGGACAGCGGGGGCCACGAGGAGCCACCGGGAAGCUGGGAGCAAAGGGCACCUCUGGUGGCGAAGGGCCGGCCGGGCCCCCAGGCGAACGGG
Non-coding RNA from Python bivittatus (Burmese python), 200 nucleotides. The record is from RefSeq and is a predicted model, not a curated record. NCBI's taxonomy places the organism in Eukaryota, Metazoa, Chordata, Lepidosauria, Squamata, Pythonidae.